This 233-nucleotide ribosomal RNA is filed under the name uncultured bacterium. RNAcentral's name for it is "partial 16S ribosomal RNA". It matches the Rfam family "Bacterial small subunit ribosomal RNA", at positions 118 to 347 of the family's 1533-position model. The record is from RNAcentral.
UGAGGAACCUGCCCUUAACUCUGGGAUAAGCCUGGGAAACUGGGUCUAAUACCGGAUAUGACUCCUCAUCGCAUGGUGGGGGGUGGAAAGCUUUUUGUGGUUUUGGAUGGACUCGCGGCCUAUCAGCUUGUUGGUGAGGUAAUGGCUCACCAAGGCGACGACAGGUAGCCGGCUGAGAGGGUGACCGGCCACACUGGGACUGAGACACGGCCCAGACCUCCGUACGGGAGCAG